Molecule: long non-coding RNA, 333 nt
Filed under: Vombatus ursinus (common wombat)
Lineage: Eukaryota; Metazoa; Chordata; Mammalia; Diprotodontia; Vombatidae
Description: lncRNA (ENSVURG00010016190.1)
Source: RNAcentral
AUGAUCCUUCCUGAAGCCCUUUCUGGACUGACUGUAAAGAUUCCCUCACUGACAAGAACCCUGCUGUUGCCACAGAUCCAUCUGUUCCACAAAGAUUUCAAGUGCAAUGAUUGCCUAGGGCAUCUUCUCCUUUGGCCUUCUCAACCCAGAACACACACCCUGCCCUCUUCUCCCACUGCCCUGGACAGGUCCUGUGAGUAAUCGAGUCUGCCGUCCUGGAAACUGGAUGAGCUUGUGGCUGAAAGGAAUUAUUUGAGCUGAUCGUGGGAAAUCGAACAGUGACAGGAGGAGGAAAAAGAGAAUAGAGAGAAACCGACACAUCUGAACAGCCGG